UCGGGACAUGGCAAAGACGAAAAGUGUGGCACCUUUUAUUCUAGCUUACUUCAGAGGCUUUGUUGGAUGGUUGUUGAGUGAUGGUGAAAAAACCGAAAACUGGAAGGUAGAUAAGUUUUUGAAAUUCAUGCACUGGAUACAGUCUCUGCGGUUCUCUUUGUCAGACUCUACCAAAGUUAUAAGAUGUGUGCUAGAAGUUUGGAAGCAGAAUUUCAAAACCAUUAAA
Macrobrachium nipponense is the source of this 226-nucleotide long non-coding RNA. RefSeq lists it as uncharacterized. NCBI's taxonomy places the organism in Eukaryota, Metazoa, Arthropoda, Malacostraca, Decapoda, Palaemonidae. The record is from RefSeq and is a predicted model, not a curated record. The transcript is spliced from 3 exons.